CCCCUAGAUGUUCUGGGCCGCACGCGCGCUACACUGAACAGUUCAACAAGUCUUAACCUUGGCCGAUAGGUCUGGGUAGUCUUUGAACGCUGUUCGUGAUUGGGAUAGACCUUUGCAAUUAUGGGUCUUCAACGAGGAAUUCCUAGUAAACGCAAGUCAUCAGCUUGCAUUGAUUACGUCCCUGCCCUUUGUACACACCGCCCGUCGCACCUACCGAUUGAAUGGUCCGGUGAAAUCUCGGGACGGCGGCUUGGUCGCUUGCGUCCGACUGCUGAAACUUGAUUAAACCAUAUCAUUUAGAGGAAGGUGAAGUCGUAACA
Molecule: ribosomal RNA, 320 nt
Filed under: uncultured eukaryote
Lineage: Eukaryota
Description: partial 18S ribosomal RNA
Rfam family: Eukaryotic small subunit ribosomal RNA
Source: RNAcentral